RNAcentral lists this unclassified non-coding RNA (150 nucleotides) under Mizuhopecten yessoensis (Yesso scallop). RNAcentral's name for it is "uncharacterized LOC110457112, transcript variant X2". The record is from RNAcentral. Lineage: Eukaryota; Metazoa; Mollusca; Bivalvia; Pectinida; Pectinidae.
ACCCUUGGGUGAAACGACAGGUGACGGCGUGUUGUGUCGGGUGGGCUAUUGUGAAAGUAGGCCUAUGACUUCUAAGAAAAAGUCUAAGGACUAAACCGGAGCCACCCUAUGCCCAGUCUGAGUGUAUCCUUCAUAAUGGAUACAAGUGUU